AACGAACGCUGGCGGCAUGCCUAACACAUGCAAGUCGAACGAGAUCUUCGGGUCUAGUGGCGCACGGGUGCGUAACGCGUGGGAAUCUGCCCUUUGGUUCGGAAUAACAGUUGGAAACGACUGCUAAUACCGGAUGAUGACGAAAGUCCAAAGAUUUAUCGCCAGAGGAUGGGCCCGCGUAGGAUUAGCUAGUUGGUGUGGUAAAGGCGCACCAAGGCGACGAUCCUUAGCUAGUCUGAGAGGAUGAUCAGCCACACUGGGACUGAGACACGGCCCAGACCCCUACGGGAGGCAGCAGUGGGGAAUAUUGGACAAUGGGCGAAAGCCUGAUCCAGCAAUGCCGCGUGAGUGAUGAAGGCCUUAGGGUUGUAAAGCUCUUUUACCCGGGAUGAUAAUGACAGUACCGGGAGAAUAAGCUCCGGCUAACUCCGUGCCAGCCGCCGCCGUAA
Molecule: ribosomal RNA, 449 nt
Filed under: uncultured bacterium
Lineage: Bacteria
Description: partial 16S ribosomal RNA
Rfam family: Bacterial small subunit ribosomal RNA
Source: RNAcentral